UUUUGAGGGCACCCAAUACUAACAAAUAACUUACCUGUCCCAACCUGAAAAAAAAACACAGAUAAAAUCAAUAGAUAAACUAAUCCUAGCAUAUUCAACUUACACAAUUAAGCCCUGCACUAAAACUCCCACUACUCCCGGGCCACAUCAAUGACUAUAUUACACAUCAGCCCCAAUAUAUAAAAUAAAAAGCAAAUAAAAAAAGUUACUUGCACACUAUCCAAAAUCCUUAUGCAUAUUUAAAUAAAUAUUUUUUAGUAUCACUCAAAG
Non-coding RNA from Pelobates cultripes (western spadefoot toad), 270 nucleotides. Lineage: Eukaryota; Metazoa; Chordata; Amphibia; Anura; Pelobatidae. The record is from the annotation of a GenBank genome assembly.